Molecule: ribosomal RNA, 205 nt
Filed under: uncultured bacterium
Lineage: Bacteria
Description: partial 16S ribosomal RNA
Rfam family: Bacterial small subunit ribosomal RNA
Source: RNAcentral
UGCGUAGGCGGGUCUUUAAGUCAGGGUGAAAUCCUGGAGCUCAACUCCAGAACUGCCUUUGAUACUGAAGAUCUUGAGUUCGGGAGAGGUGAGUGGAACUGCGAGUGUAGAGGUGAAAUUCGUAGAUAUUCGCAAGAACACCAGUGGCGAAGGCGGCUCACUGGCCCGAUACUGACGCUGAGGCACGAAAGCGUGGGAGCAAACA